UACGUAGGGUGCAAGCGUUAAUCGGAAUCACUGGGCGUAAAGCGUGCGCAGGCGGUUAUGCAAGACAGAUGUGAAAUCCCCGGGCUUAACCUGGGAACCGCAUUUGUGACUGCAUAGCUGGAGUACGGCAGAGGGGGAUGGAAUUCCGCGUGUAGCAGUGAAAUGCGUAGAUAUGCGGAGGAACACCGAUGGCGAAGGCAGUCCCCUGGGCCUGUACUGACGCUCAUGCACGAAAGCGUGGGGAGCAAACAGG
This 253-nucleotide ribosomal RNA is filed under the name uncultured bacterium. RNAcentral describes it as "partial 16S ribosomal RNA". It matches the Rfam family "Bacterial small subunit ribosomal RNA", at positions 524 to 776 of the family's 1533-position model. The record is from RNAcentral.